AAGAUAAAGCUAAAGUUUAGCAUUUCACUUACGUUGAAAAGGUUGUCGCGGGUUGACUUAUUUUGGU
RNAcentral lists this transfer RNA (67 nucleotides) under Cherax robustus. RNAcentral's name for it is "tRNA-Val". Lineage: Eukaryota; Metazoa; Arthropoda; Malacostraca; Decapoda; Parastacidae. The record is from RNAcentral.